AUUGAACGCUGGCGGCAGGCCUAACACAUGCAAGUCGAGCGGAUGAAGGGAGCUUGCUCCUGGAUUCAGCGGCGGACGGGUGAGUAAUGCCUAGGAAUCUGCCUGGUAGUGGGGGAUAACGUCCGGAAACGGGCGCUAAUACCGCAUACGUCCUGAGGGAGAAAGUGGGGGAUCUUCGGACCUCACGCUAUCAGAUGAGCCUAGGUCGGAUUAGCUAGUUGGUGGGGUAAAGGCCGACCAAGGCGACGAUCCGUAACUGGUCUGAGAGGAUGAUCAGUCACACUGGAACUGAGACACGGUCCAGACUCCUACGGGAGGCAGCAGUGGGGAAUAUUGGACAAUGGGCGAAAGCCUGAUCCAGCCAUGCCGCGUGUGUGAAGAAGGUCUUCGGAUUGUAAAGCACUUUAAGUUGGGAGGAAGGUCAGUAAGUUAAUACCUUGCUGUUUUGACGUUACCAACAGAAUAAGCACCGGCUAACUUCGUG
This 484-nucleotide ribosomal RNA is filed under the name uncultured bacterium. RNAcentral's name for it is "partial 16S ribosomal RNA". It matches the Rfam family "Bacterial small subunit ribosomal RNA", at positions 30 to 507 of the family's 1533-position model. The record is from RNAcentral.